CAAUACAAAGGGCAGCUAAACCGCGAGGUCAAGCAAAUCCCAUAAAGUUGUUCUCAGUUCGGAUUGUAGUCUGCAACUCGACUAUAUGAAGCUGGAAUCGCUAGUAAUCGCGCAUCAGCCAUGGCGCGGUGAAUACGUUCCCGGGCCUUGUACACACCGCCCGUCACACCAUGGGAGUUUGUUGCACCAGAAGUAGGUAGUCUAACUGUAAGGAGGACGCUUACCACGGUGUGGCAGAUGACUGGGGUGAAGUCGGAACAAGGUAGC
This 267-nucleotide ribosomal RNA is filed under the name Scrippsiella hangoei. RNAcentral describes it as "partial Bacterial small subunit ribosomal RNA". It matches the Rfam family "Bacterial small subunit ribosomal RNA", at positions 1235 to 1500 of the family's 1533-position model. Lineage: Eukaryota; Dinophyceae; Peridiniales; Peridiniaceae. The record is from RNAcentral.